RNAcentral lists this ribosomal RNA (255 nucleotides) under uncultured bacterium. RNAcentral describes it as "partial 16S ribosomal RNA". It matches the Rfam family "Bacterial small subunit ribosomal RNA", at positions 524 to 778 of the family's 1533-position model. The record is from RNAcentral.
UACGUAGGCAGCGAGCGUUGUUCGGAGUUACUGGGCGUAAAGCGUGCGCAGGCGGUUUUGUAAGUCUGUCGUGAAAUCCCCGGGCUCAACCUGGGAAUUGCGAUGGAGACUGCAAGGCUAGAAUCUGGCAGAGGGGGGUAGAAUUCCACGUGUAGCAGUGAAAUGCGUAGAGAUGUGGAGGAACACCGAUGGCGAAGGCAGCCCCCUGGGUCAAGAUUGACGCUCAUGCACGAAAGCGUGGGGAGCAAACGAGGA